Molecule: unclassified non-coding RNA, 338 nt
Filed under: soil metagenome
Description: partial contains 5.8S ribosomal RNA, internal transcribed spacer 2, and large subunit ribosomal RNA
Rfam family: 5.8S ribosomal RNA (bases 1-120)
Source: RNAcentral
GAUGAAGAACGUAGCGAAAUGCGAUAAGUAAUGUGAAUUGCAGAAUUCAGUGAAUCAUCGAAUCUUUGAACGCACAUUGCGCCCGGUAGUAUUCUGCCGGGCAUGCCUGUUCGAGCGUCAUUUCAACCAUCAAGCCCCAGCGCUUGUGUUGGGGGCCUGCGGCUGCCGCAGCCCCCCAAAAGCAGUGGCGGGCUCGCUAUCACACCGAGUGCAGUAGUUCAUCUUCUCUCCGGUCUUGUGAGGCGGGUUCCGGCCGUGAAACACCCCACUACAUUCAAGGUUGAGCUCGGAUCAGGUAGGAAUACCCGCUGAACUUAAGCAUAUCAAUAAGCGGAGGA